GCAACACGUUGACCGCGAACGCAACAUCUUGACCGUGAACGCAACACCUUGACCGUGAACGCAACACGUUGACGGUUAAUUGCGGUUAACUGACAGUUGGAGGGGAGCCAAAUUCAAAAUGUCCGACUGGGAAGAGGAGUACGAUGAAAACGGUGUUGCCAUCGACAUUCCCGCUCCAAAACCAUCAGCUCCGACUAAUUACGAUGAAGAUCGCUCAAGAGAAAAUGUAUUUUUCGGCGUGAGAAGAGGAGCCAGGUUUGCAGCCCCGAGAGAGAGCAGAGAGGGAUCCGAGUUCAAGCCCCGCAGAGGCGGCGGCGGCGGCGAAAGUUACCGGAGCACACGACGGACGAACUUUGGCGAGGAAAGGUCAAACUGUUCCCAGCCUGUGAUAGUUACCGUGGAAAACGCUUCAGUUGGGAGGAUAAUAGGUCGUGGAGGAGCCAAAGUUCGUGAACUCGAAGAGAGCACAGGUGCACGGAUCAAGGUAAACAGAGGGGACUAUGAAGGUGAGGUGGUCAUCUUUGGGCCCCCUGCUGCCCAGCAGAAGGCCAAGGAGAUGAUCGAAGACCUGGUGGCGGAUGGAAACUCUCGAUUUCCCGCUGGUGUGCGAAAGGGCGGAGACUAUGAAGGCGGAGACUAUGGAAGAAGAAGUGAUGAAGGUGUAAGGAAUGACUCUGUCUGGUCUGCAGCACAGUUACAGGCUGCGAAGGUCAUCCCGGCCCACGUACCCAUAGACUGGAACGCCAUCCGGGAGAACAAGGAUAAGUAUGAGGAGCUCAAGUGGAAGGACCUCCCACCCAUGAAGAAGAAGUUUUACACUGAGGCAGAGAGUGUAUCCAUGCUGACAGCAGAGGAAGUCAUUGAAUGGAGGAAGGAAAAUAACAGCAUCUUUGUGGACGACCUGAAGGAGGAGGGAGAGAAACGUCCUAUUCCCAACCCCUGUCGCACCUUUCUGGAGGCCUUUGAGCGUUAUCCAGAGAUCAUGGAGAACAUUGAACGAGUCGGCUUCGUCAAACCAACCCCCAUCCAGUCUCAGGCAUGGCCAGUGUUGCUGAGCGGGGAGGACCUGAUAGCCAUCGCUCAGACAGGAACAGGCAAAACUCUGGCCUACCUGCUGCCAGGGUUCAUCCACAUGGAUGGACAGCCUGUACCUCGAGCUGAGCAGGGUGGUCCAGGCAUGUUGGUGCUGACUCCCACCAGAGAGCUGGCCCUGCAGAUUGAAAUGGAGUGCAAAAAGUACCGCUACAAAAACUACAAAAGUCUUUGUAUCUAUGGCGGAGGCGAUAGGAGAGGCCAGAUCAACUUUGUGAAGGGCGGAGUGGACAUAGUGAUCGCUACACCAGGCCGACUAAAUGAUCUACAGAUGAAUGACCUCAUCAGCCUCAGCUCCAUCACCUAUUUGGUGCUGGACGAAGCUGACCGUAUGCUAGACAUGGGCUUUGAGCCACAGAUAAAGAAGAUUCUCUUGGACAUCCGCCCAGACCGACAGAAUGUCAUGACCAGUGCCACUUGGCCCACUGGUGUCAGACGACUGGCCAGCUCCUACUUAAAGAAUCCCAUGAUGGUCUACGUGGGCAGUCUGGACUUGGCUGCGGUUAACACAGUGAAUCAAACAGUGCUGGUUGUCAGUGAAGAGGAGAAGAAGUCCUACUUGUUUAACUUCAUCCGAAACAUGCAGCCCGAGGAUAAAGUCCUUAUCUUUGUUGGGAGGAAGCUUAUGGCUGAUGACCUGUCCAGUGACAUGUGUCUGCAUGGUCUGGCUGUGCAAAGUCUCCAUGGUGACCAUGAGCAGUCUGACCGUGAACAAGCCCUCGAGGACUUUAAAAGGAGUCGGGUUCGUAUCCUGGUCGCCACAGACUUGGCAUCUCGAGGGUUAGAUGUCCAUGACAUAACUCAUGUCUUCAAUUAUGACUUCCCACGUAACAUAGAAGAGUAUGUCCAUCGUGUGGGCCGCACCGGCCGAGCAGGACGUUCAGGUGCUGCUGUUACCCUGGUAACCAGAGAUAACUGGAGGAUGGCCCCCGAGCUCAUUUCCAUUCUGGAGAGAGCAGGACAGGAGGUCCCUCAGGAUCUGGUGCUUAUGGCAGAGAGAUAUGAGAAGCACAAGCAGGAUAAGGCGAUGUGCGAUCCAAGAGGAGGACCGGGACGAGGAGGAGGCAGACGAGAAGGAGGGGGAGGAGGAGGAGGAUGGGGGAGGAGAGAUGGUGGAGGCAGGGAUCGAGGCCAAAACUGGGGAUUCUUCUAACGCAUGAUUGUCAAUGCGAGUCCACGUAUAAGACAAGGUUACCUACACACGUCUACAAAAGGUUGGAGCAGGAUCUAUAACCUCCUGUGUUGUAAUUACUUUUGAAUGUAAAUUUCAUAUUUUUCUUUGAUUUUUUUUGUUUGUUUGUUUGUUUUUUUACUGUUUUGUAUUUAUUUACUUUGAUUGAAACGUCUUGUAUUUGUUGUCUGCUGGAUUAUCGUUCAUAGGAGAAGAUGCACCUCGUUAUGUUGGAGUCCUGUUUUAAAAAAAAAAAUAUUUAGUGCACCAUUCUGACAGUUUUCUUUCUGUCUGUAACUCACCAACCACAGCAGUGCUUCGUAUCACAAUAUUUUGUUAUGUAAUUUCUUGAUUAAACAAAAUCUGCAUAAUAAAUUCUUCUUUUAAGGAGACUUGACAACCA
Molecule: RNA transcript, 2666 nt
Organism: Larimichthys crocea (large yellow croaker)
Lineage: Eukaryota; Metazoa; Chordata; Actinopteri; Sciaenidae
Gene: ddx43
Gene name: DEAD (Asp-Glu-Ala-Asp) box polypeptide 43
Exons: 17
Source: RefSeq, a predicted model, not a curated record